RNAcentral lists this long non-coding RNA (1284 nucleotides) under Mytilus galloprovincialis (Mediterranean mussel). The record is from RNAcentral. Lineage: Eukaryota; Metazoa; Mollusca; Bivalvia; Mytilida; Mytilidae.
GUUGUGGUAUAAGCUGAUGAAAAUGGGUAUUAACGGAACGUUUCUAAAAGCAAUUCAGUCUCUUUACGAUGCGACACAAAGUGCUGUAAAAUUAGGAAACAACUUAACAGAUAUUUUCCCGGUUCAAUACGGUGUGAAACAAGGCUGUAAAAUGUCUCCUACUUUGUAUUCUAUAUAUGUUAACGAUCUUGCGGAGGAUAUUCGCUCGCUUAAUGCUGGUGUAGAUAUUGAUGACUUAAAUGUAUCUAUUCUUCUUUACGCUGACGAUGUUGCAUUGCUAGCUCCAAAUGAGCAGAAUUUACAAAAGAUGUUGGACUGUUUAAACACCUGGUGUAGGAAAUGGAGAAUGACUCUAAAUACAGAAAAAACGAAAGUUAUUCAUUACCGUAAUAAAAACAUUGCUAGAUCUGCCGUUGAAUUUAAAUGCGGAGAUAUUUUAGUUAAUUAUAUUUCAUCCUACAGAUAUUUGGGACUACAUUUGAAUGAAUUUCUGGAUUAUAAACAUACAGUACGAGAAAUUACUAAAUCAGCAAGCAGAGCACUUUCAGCCUUAUAUGCUAAAUUUAUUUCGUGUGGUGGAAUGACUUAUGAUGUGUUUACGAAACUAUAUAGGUCGGUAGUUGAGCCUGUUCUAUACUAUGGUUCUGGAAUAUGGGGACAUACAAAUUGGAGAGAGGUACAAGUUAUACAGAACAAAGCAUGUCGGUUAUUCUUAGGAAGUGCUUCAAAUGCGUCAAAUAUAGCCAUUCAAGGUGAUAUGGGACUUACAAGUACGAAAUCAGCAGAAAUUUUGGAAACUUUUCGUCUAUUUCUUAGAGUGAGCAAAGCUUAUGAUACAAGACUUACGUAUAAGGUUCAUAUGUGGAGUAAGGAUUGUUCUAGGUCUUGGGAUAAAAAUUGUAUAAAGAAAGCACAAAUUUUCGGUAUUGAAAAUGUUAUUAAUGAUACUUUUUCCAUUAAACAUAAACUGCAAGAUAUCAAAUCUAAACUAUGUGAAAAAGAUAAAAAUGAGUGGGUUGAAAAAUUGUUUAAUGACAGAAAUCAAUGUAAUGGUAAUAAAUUACGUAUUUAUAGAGAGUAUAAACAUGUUUUAGAAUUUAGUUCUUAUGUAAAAUUAGUUCGUAACAGGCAGCAUAGACGUGUUUUGUCAAAUUUUAGAAGUGGCUGUUUACCACUGGCAGUUGAAACGGGUAGAUACACCAAGCCAAAAAUUCCUUUAAAUGAGCGCACUUGUAUAUAUUGUACAGAUAAUUGUGUAGAAGAUGAAAAACAUUUUUUAUUAGG